UACGGAGGGAGCGAGCGUUGUCCGAAGUUACUGGGCGUAAAGCGCGCGUAGGCGGGAAGUUAAGUGAGAAGUGAAAGGCUGGGGCUUAACCCCAUGCAGUGCUCCUCAUACUGGUUUUCUUGAGGGUGGUAGAGAGAAGUGGAAUGGCUGGUGUAGCGGUGAAAUGCGUAGAUAUCAGUCGGAACACCAGUGGCGAAGGCGGCUUCUUGGGCCAUUACUGACGCUGAGGCGCGAAAGCCAGGGGAGCGAACGGG
Molecule: ribosomal RNA, 254 nt
Filed under: uncultured bacterium
Lineage: Bacteria
Description: partial 16S ribosomal RNA
Rfam family: Bacterial small subunit ribosomal RNA
Source: RNAcentral